Molecule: ribosomal RNA, 329 nt
Filed under: uncultured eukaryote
Lineage: Eukaryota
Description: partial 18S ribosomal RNA
Rfam family: Eukaryotic small subunit ribosomal RNA
Source: RNAcentral
CCCUUAGAUGUUCUGGGCCGCACGCGCGCUACACUGACGAAUGCAACGAGCUUAUAACCUUGGCCGAAAGGUCUGGGUAAUCUCCAAAUUUCGUCGUGAUGGGGAUAGAUUAUUGCAAUUAUUAAUCUUCAACGAGGAAUGCCUAGUAAGCGCAAGUCAUCAGCUUGCGUUGAUUACGUCCCUGCCCUUUGUACACACCGCCCGUCGCUACUACCGAUUGAAUGGUUUAGUGAGAUCUCUGGAUUGACGCUGGCUAGGGGGCGACCCUUGGCCAGACUGUUGAGAAACUGCUCAAACUUGAUCAUUUAGAGGAAGUAAAAGUCGUAACA